Molecule: ribosomal RNA, 497 nt
Filed under: uncultured bacterium
Lineage: Bacteria
Description: partial 16S ribosomal RNA
Rfam family: Bacterial small subunit ribosomal RNA
Source: RNAcentral
GGCGAACGCUGGCGGCGUGCCUAAUACAUGCAAGUUGAGCGCUGAAGGCUGGUACUUGUACCAACUGGAUGAGCAGCGAACGGGUGAGUAACGCGUGGGGAAUCUGCCUUUGAGCGGGGGACAACAUUUGGAAACGAAUGCUAAUACCGCAUAAAAACUUUAAACACAAGUUUUAAGUUUGAAAGAUGCAAUUGCAUCACUCAAAGAUGAUCCCGCGUUGUAUUAGCUAGUUGGUGAGGUAAAGGCUCACCAAGGCGAUGAUACAUAGCCGACCUGAGAGGGUGAUCGGCCACAUUGGGACUGAGACACGGCCCAAACUCCUACGGGAGGCAGCAGUAGGGAAUCUUCGGCAAUGGACGAAAGUCUGACCGAGCAACGCCGCGUGAGUGAAGAAGGUUUUCGGAUCGUAAAACUCUGUUGGUAGAGAAGAACGUUGGUGAGAGUGGAAAGCUCAUCAAGUGACGGUAACUACCCAGAAAGGGACGGCUAACUACGUG